RNAcentral lists this ribosomal RNA (253 nucleotides) under uncultured bacterium. Its description in RNAcentral is "partial 16S ribosomal RNA". It matches the Rfam family "Bacterial small subunit ribosomal RNA", at positions 524 to 776 of the family's 1533-position model. The record is from RNAcentral.
UACGGAGGGUGCAAGCGUUAAUCGGAAUUACUGGGCGUAAAGCGCACGCAGGCGGUUGGUUAAGUUAGAUGUGAAAUCCCCGGGCUCAACCUGGGAAUUGCAUUUAAAACUGUCCAGCUAGAGUCUUGUAGAGGGGGGUAGAAUUCCAGGUGUAGCGGUGAAAUGCGUAGAGAUCUGGAGGAAUACCGGUGGCGAAGGCGGCCCCCUGGACAAAGACUGACGCUCAGGUGCGAAAGCGUGGGGAGCAAACAGG